AACUGUGAGCGACGAAACUUUUAGUUUUAAAUUUAAUUUUACUUGGUGACUUGUACUGUGCUGUUUUUACUUUUCUACAGUUUCAUUUUUUCAGCAAGUCAAUAUGAAACCUAAAUCAGUCCUCACCCGGUUUCACAAUUGUUACAUAUUGCGUGAUAAUAAAAUAAUUAAAGAAGAUCUGUGGAUACGCGAUGGUAAAAUUGAAAAUCCAGAACAAGUUUUUUAUGUGGAACAGCUCGAAGCAGACGUAACUGUAAAUUGUGACAAUGUACUGAUUGCACCAGGGUUCAUUGACAUCCAAAUAAAUGGUGGUUGGGGUAUUGACUUCUCAUACGACUGCAAAAAUGUAGAAAAUGGUGUCAGUAAAGUGGCAAAAGAGCUCCUGGCUCAUGGUGUGACUUCAUUCUGUCCUACCAUGGUGACGUCAGACACAGAAAAGUAUAAUAAAAUCUUGCCCAAGAUCACCAAAGCCCAAGGCGGUAAGGAUGGUGCUACAGUACUGGGGGUACACCUUGAAGGUCCAUUUAUCAGCCUAGAAAAAAAAGGAGCCCAUAUGGAUGACUACAUCAGAACCCCAGAAAAGGGAUUAGAGUCAAUCCGUGAAGUUUACGGAUCUUUGGAUAAUGUUAUCAUGGUCACGUUAGCCCCAGAACUGCCUGGAGCAACUGAGGCUAUAAAAGGCUUGACCGGCCUCGGCAUCAAGGUAGCGUUAGGUCAUUCCACUGCCAGUCUAGCACAAGGUGAAGAAGCAGUGAAGAACGGUGCUAAUUUGAUCACUCAUUUGUUCAAUGCAAUGUUACCUUUCCACCAUCGUGACCCUGGCCUAGUAGGACUGCUAGCUUCAACGACAGAGAAACAAGUGUACUACGGUAUCAUAGCUGACGGCAUUCACACGCAUCCUGCGGCCCUUAGAAUAGCAUGCAGAACGAAUCCUGAAGGUCUGGUGCUGGUAAGCGACGCAGUAGCAGCUCAAGGCUUAGCAGACGGCAACUACCGGAUCGGGCCGCAAGCCGUUACAGUGGAAGGCGGCCGGGCGUACGUGACGGGCACCAAGACUCUUUGCGGGAGCACCAGUGGACUCGACGAAUGCGUGAUUAUCUUCAAACAGUCUAUAGAUUGUACCUUGGAAUAUGCGUUAGAAGCUGCUUCCUUACAUCCAGCAAGAGCUCUAGGUAUUGAUGACCGAAAAGGCAAACUAGACUUUGGUUAUGACGCGGACUUUGUCAUCUUACACCCCAAAUCUUUGAAGGUUCUCUCCACUUGGAUCGCGGGGGAAUGUGUUUUUGAACGACCAGAUUCAGAACAAUGAUUGCAGGUAAAUAUAUAAUAUGAUGUACCAGACUAUGAAAAUGUAUUUUAUUUACAGUUAGUGUACAUGUUAAAUAACUUUUCGGUCAUUGAACUUCACAACUGAAGGGUUGUAGGAGGUAUCUACACUAUAUGCUUUAUAAUUUUAUGCAUUUUGACAUAAUUUAUACAAAUUAAUUGUGAUAUUAUGUAUGUAAAUAAAAUGUGUCUAUAAAAUAAAACGUUAUAUUCAAAGUU
Ostrinia nubilalis (European corn borer) is the source of this 1545-nucleotide RNA transcript. It is a transcript of the gene named N-acetylglucosamine-6-phosphate deacetylase, with no coding region annotated. The transcript is spliced from 7 exons. NCBI's taxonomy places the organism in Eukaryota, Metazoa, Arthropoda, Insecta, Lepidoptera, Crambidae. The record is from RefSeq and is a predicted model, not a curated record.